Molecule: long non-coding RNA, 821 nt
Organism: Stegostoma tigrinum
Lineage: Eukaryota; Metazoa; Chordata; Chondrichthyes; Orectolobiformes; Stegostomatidae
Exons: 3
Source: RefSeq, a predicted model, not a curated record
UGCUUGCCUUUCCUCUUUGUGCAGAUAACGAGGCCCUCUCCUCGCAUUUUUUCUUCAGAGUUUGCGAGAGAGUGAGAAGAAGGAAAGACAGAACCGAAGGGAAAUCCUCGAGGUUGAACAAAAGCACAGGCAACGUGCAGCUGUGUGCCGGUAUGAUUUCUGCAUGGACAAAAGUUGGACUCAGCCCUGAAGAUAAAAUUGGGACAAUGUGAAGCUGUGCCAGCGCAGCCUGCACCAGCGAGUGAUGCAAGAUCGUAUUCCACCUACCGCAAGUUUCAAGUUCACUCAGGAAUGUGGUUCCUUUGUUUGUUACUUCAGCGUUUUCUCUGUGUGGUUUUUGGUGGUCUGAGGUCCCUGCUCUGAGCCAGCAAGCACCAGCCUGCAUUUGGAUAGCACCGUCUCCUGUGGGAGGGUUUCCCAAGGGAGCGGUUCAGAAAGGACUCGUCAGAAAUUGAGGAAGACGGAGAGUGCGAGAAUUUUUGGCCAGAGAGGAGAAAGGUUUAAGAAAGACACGAGGGGCAACGUUUUAUUGAGAAGAAGGGUGUUUCGUGCUUGGAAUGAACUUCCUGAGGAAGUGGUGAGUGCAGGUCUUUGGCACGAUGUGUGAACUUUUGCAUUCAGUUGCGGAUGGGCGGUGCAUGAUUAACCCAAACAGGAGAAAAGCUCCAUCCGCGUCGAUGGUAGAGAGUAGGGCGAUGUGUGGAGGAGAAGGCUGAAGGAUUCGCAGCCAUCUACAGCUCGGAGUACUGAGUGGAUGAACCAUUUCUUUCCAAAUCCUCAGUAGCACAGGUGCCAGUCUUUAGCCAAUUCAAUUCACCCGA